GACGAACGCUGGCGGCGUGCCUAACACAUGCAAGUCGAGCGAAAAGACCAGGACUUUGCUCCUCUGACGUUAGCGGCGGACGGGUGAGUAGCACGUGGAUAACCUACCUCUCAGACUGGGAUACCUUCGGGAAACCGGCUCUUAUACCGGAUAAUAUAUCGAACCGGAUGGUUCAAUAGUUUAAGACGGUUUUGCUGUGACUUAUAGCUGUCACCGCGCCGCAUUAGUUAGUUGGUAAGGUAACGGCUUACCAAGGCAGGGAUGCGUAGCCGACCGGAGAGGGUGGUCGCCCACAUGGGAGGAGAGACGGGGUCCAGACUCCUGCGGGAGGCCGCAGUAGGGAAUCUUCCGCAAUGGUGGAGAGCCUGACAGAGCAACGCGGCGUGAGUGAUGAAGGUGUUCGGAUGGGAAAGCUCUGUUAUUGGGGGAGAACUAAUGUGUAAGUAACCGUGCACGUCUUGACGGUACCUGGAGAAAAAGCCACGGCUAACUACGUG
RNAcentral lists this ribosomal RNA (497 nucleotides) under uncultured bacterium. RNAcentral describes it as "partial 16S ribosomal RNA". It matches the Rfam family "Bacterial small subunit ribosomal RNA", at positions 28 to 507 of the family's 1533-position model. The record is from RNAcentral.